RNAcentral lists this transfer RNA (86 nucleotides) under Candidatus Parcubacteria bacterium. RNAcentral describes it as "tRNA-Ser". It matches the Rfam family "tRNA". Rfam says of the family: Transfer RNA (tRNA) molecules are approximately 80 nucleotides in length. Their secondary structure includes four short double-helical elements and three loops (D, anti-codon, and T loops). The record is from RNAcentral. Lineage: Bacteria; Candidatus Parcubacteria.
GGAGAGGUGUACCGAAUGGUAAGGUACCGGUUUCGAAAACCGGCGUCCGUAAGGACAUGCGAGUUCGACUCUCGCCCUCUCCGCCA